RNAcentral lists this ribosomal RNA (267 nucleotides) under uncultured bacterium. Its description in RNAcentral is "partial 16S ribosomal RNA". It matches the Rfam family "Bacterial small subunit ribosomal RNA", at positions 28 to 297 of the family's 1533-position model. The record is from RNAcentral.
GACGAACGCUGGCGGCGUGCUUAACACAUGCAAGUCGAACGGUGAAGCCCUUCGGGUGGAUCAGUGGCGAACGGGUGAGUAACACGUGAGCAAUCUGCCCUUGACGUCUGGGAUAACUUUCGGGAAACCGGAGGCUAAUACCGGAUAUGACAUACGGCCGCAUGGUCUGUGUGUGGAAAGAUUUAUCGGUCAAGGAUGAGCUCGCGGCCUAUCAGCUUGUUGGUGGGGUAAGGCCCACCAAGGCGACGACGGGUAGCCGGCCUGAGA